AGAGAUUUCUAGUUUUAAUUGUCUAUUUGUUCAAUGCAUCAUACAUCAUGAACUAAAACAAACACACACAAACUGUGCAAUACACAUUACUAAUUGUUUAAGUACCAAUAGAUCACUUCUUUUUCUUUAGCUCUAUUGAUUGCAUAAACAACGCAUGUUUCUGAUGUUUUUGUUUUAGUGGAUUUGAAUGUUUGCUAUCAUCAACAAAAAACUUUUUAUGUUAAUUUUGAAAACACAUUAAACAAGUGACUAAAACAUGUGACUGAAUCGGAAACAUCACAAAGGAACAAAUAAGAAUAUAACAAAAACAAAUUUGUGAAAAAAAAAAAAAGCCAGAGCAGAUACCUGGCGAAGAGAAAUAAUGAGUCACAAUUCCAUGCAACUGAACUUCUUCAACCAUUCCUGACAAAUGUUGGCAAUACUGACAGGGGGGGGGAUUAACUUACAUUAAAAAAAAAAAAAGAGUAAAAAAGUCACUGGUCACAAUACAAGGACAAUUGAUGACCAGUGGUAAAAUUUGAACAGAUUCUUCUCAUUAAAAAAUCAAACCCAAUGUUUUCAAAAAAACAUUGGGUUUAGAAGACUGGCUUUAAAGAGAGUCAACAAUCUUCACUUCAAACAGGACCACACUAACGGCAGCAAAAAAAAAAAAAAAAAAAAAAAAAAC
Molecule: non-coding RNA, 667 nt
Organism: Biomphalaria pfeifferi
Lineage: Eukaryota; Metazoa; Mollusca; Gastropoda; Planorbidae
Source: the annotation of a GenBank genome assembly